GGAGAGGUGGCUCAAUGGUAGAGUGCUUGCCUAGCAUGCAUGAAGUCCCAGGUUCGAUUCCUCAGUACCA
Molecule: transfer RNA, 70 nt
Filed under: Dipodomys ordii (Ord's kangaroo rat)
Lineage: Eukaryota; Metazoa; Chordata; Mammalia; Rodentia; Heteromyidae
Rfam family: tRNA
About the family: Transfer RNA (tRNA) molecules are approximately 80 nucleotides in length. Their secondary structure includes four short double-helical elements and three loops (D, anti-codon, and T loops).
Source: Rfam by way of RNAcentral